RNAcentral lists this small RNA (567 nucleotides) under Drosophila virilis. Its description in RNAcentral is "GJ26191". The record is from RNAcentral. Lineage: Eukaryota; Metazoa; Arthropoda; Insecta; Diptera; Drosophilidae.
UUUCUGUUGAUGUUUUACAAGUAUAUGUAUACUGAAAUUUGGCACCCAGAAGAAUUCCAAAUUUCUCCACCAACGUUUUUUCUGAAAUGGAUAAAUUCAAGUAUCUGAAGCCCGCCUGGUGGACUGCAUCGUUGAUACUUUUAAUGCUGUUGUCCAUGACGAAGGGUGCCUCAAAAUAUAUCAACUUUGCAGCUUUUCCGAAAAUUAUUGAUAAUGUGUUGGGCACAAUAUCCACAACCAUAACAAUUAGACCGGAUUAAGUGUUGCCAACAACAAAUGCAAAACAGGGCGAGCAAGCAACAACAAGAGCAGCAACAAGACAGCAAUUCGAAGCAAAAAGUCUGAAAACUGGUAUCAGCAACAAGGCGCCCAGUGUGGACAUGACCCCGGCCAUGCGGCGCAACAGGUGGUGCCAGGGCAGCUACACAAACAAUCUCAGAUCGUGUGGGCUGGUCCACAUGUAGGCAAUAAUCUGAACAUGUCAGCUGCUGAUAUUGGUACAAGUUGCCGGGCUCAAAGAGUCGGCGCCACAAAGAUUGAAAAUAAAAGAAAAUAGUGCAAAAAAAA